AUCAAAGAUAACUGAAUCUACUCUACCUUGAUUUGCUCCUCUCGAGCAGACAAUUGUUUUUUAAGCUCUUCAAUAAUUCUGCUGGGUUCUUCGCUGCAGCUGAUAUCAUUUUGGGCAGCGAUCAAGAGAGUUCUACAAUUCUGCAGAUCUUUUUUCACCAGAGAAAGAACAUUCACCUGCCCACAUGCUAGAAUGCUGGGGUCUCUCUCAUAGAUGGUAGACUUUUGCAUUGUUUCGUUACUUGAAGGUCUGAUC
This 255-nucleotide unclassified non-coding RNA is filed under the name Athalia rosae (coleseed sawfly). RNAcentral's name for it is "misc RNA ENSAEAG00005012904.1". Lineage: Eukaryota; Metazoa; Arthropoda; Insecta; Hymenoptera; Athaliidae. The record is from RNAcentral.